GGGAUCUCAUUGGUUUCCAAGUUCUCAAACAGGAGGGGUAGGGUGACCCAGGGACUCCCCCCUAUAUUUCAUUUAAUUAGUUAUAUUGACCCAUACAUGAAUAUAUAUUGUUUUGGUGUGGGGAUCUCGACCGUUUCCAAGUUCUCAAACAGGAGGGUUGGGAUGACCACAGGGACUUCCCCUAUAUUUCAUUUGAUUUGUUAUAUUGUCCCAUACAUGAGUAUAUAUGGUUUCGGGGUAAGGAUCUUGGCCAUUUCCAAGUUCUCAAACAGGAGGGUGAACAGUGACCUAUGGGACUCCCCCUAUCUUUCAUUUGAAUUGUUAUGUAGUCCCA
RNAcentral lists this long non-coding RNA (334 nucleotides) under Mytilus galloprovincialis (Mediterranean mussel). Lineage: Eukaryota; Metazoa; Mollusca; Bivalvia; Mytilida; Mytilidae. The record is from RNAcentral.